Molecule: microRNA, 21 nt
Filed under: Brachypodium distachyon (stiff brome)
Lineage: Eukaryota; Viridiplantae; Streptophyta; Magnoliopsida; Poales; Poaceae
Description: bdi-miR1139
Source: miRBase by way of RNAcentral
GAGUAACAUACACUAGUAACA